AAUUUGACCUCAAUAUUAUUUUUUUUCUGGUAAAUCAGAGUAUGCUGGAACCUGAAAUAUUUUUCCAUGUAAGCAUUUCUGGGCUGGACUUAAUUCACUUCUAAAUCUUUGUCUGAAUAAAUAAAAUAGACUAACAUUCUUAAAUCUUAAUCUGUCAGGUCUGUUUUACGGACACUGAGUCAUGCUUAUAAACCUUUCCUGAAUAUGCUCCAGUUUCUCAAUGAUCUUUCUGAAGCAAGGACAUGAGAUCUAUACUCUCAUAAUACCUCUUUCCUGUUUUGGUUACCUCUUCUUUCUGCAGUCAAGGAUGGCACUCAAAAGUUUAGCUGCUGUGCUGCCACAGGACCAUACGCUUGUAUGGCUGCCUUGUAUGACUUCUACAUAGGAGACCUGGAGAAAAGACAAUAGCACUGCACAAGCCUCAGAGAAUGCAUGAGUACCUACACCACCAUCCAUCCCUUCCUGCAGCAUGUGGCGAUGCACACAGCACUGGGAUAGAUAUUUCUAUGCCCACUAAGACUGUAUUUGCCACUGCGACACAGAAUUGAAAGAUUAAUAUGCCACCCCAGUAUUUCCAUCUGAAUGUCAUUGUAGUGCCAAUAGACUCAUUUCAAACUAUCUGUUGGGAACAAGAUGUACAAAAAGGGACAGAGAUCUGCUGUCUGUCUAGUGUUGACAGAUGCCACACUCCGAUGUGAAGUUCCUUACUUGGCCCAGCCAGCACCGGUUCAUGAAAGGCAGGUCAUACUUGACUAACCUCAUCUCCUCCUACGACUGCGUGACCAGACUGGUAGACAAGGCAAAGGCUGUAGAUAUAGUCUACCUAGACUUCAGCAAAGCCUUUGACAUGGUCUCUCACAGUAUUCUCCCGGGGAAACUGGCUGCCUGUGGCCUGGACAGGUAUACCCUUCUUUGGGUAAGAAACUGGCUAGAGGGCCAUGCCCAAUGGGUAGUGGUUAAUGGAGUUAAGUCCAGCUGGUGACCCAUUACAAGUGGUGUCCCCAGGGAUCAGUACUGGGGCCCAUCCUGUUUAAUAUAUUUAUUGAUGACCUAGAUGAAGGGAUUGAGGGUACCCUCAGUAAGUUUGCAGAUUACACCAAGUUGAGAGGUGGUAUCGAUCUGCCUGAGGGUAGAAAGGUGCUUCAGAGGGAUCUAGAUAAGCUGGAUCUCUGGGCUGAAGUUAAUGGGAUGAGGUUCAACAAGGCCAAGUGCCAGGUCCUGCACUUUGGCCACAAUAAUCCCAUGCAGUGCUACAGGCUUGGGGCUGACUGCCUGGAGGACUGUGAAGAGGAGAGAGACCUGGGGGUCUUGGUUGAAGUUCGGCUGAACACAAGCCGACAGUCUGCUCACACAGCCAAGAGGGCCAAUGGCAUCCUGGCCUGCAUUAGAACUAGCGUGGCCAGCAGGAGCAGGGAGGUAAUCAGCUCCUGUACUCAGCACUGGUGAGGCCGCACCUCAAGUAUUGUGUUCAGUUUUGGGCCCCUCACUACAAGAAAGACACUGAGGCCCUGGAAUGUCUCCAGAGAAGGGCAGUGAAACUGGUGAAGGGUCUGAAGCACAAGUUUUAUGAGGAGCAGGUAAGGGAGCUGGGAUUGUUCUGUAUGGAGAAGAGGAGAUUCAGAGACCUCAUUGCACUUUAUAACUUCCUGAAGGGAGGUUGUGAUGAGGAGGGAUUUGGCAUUUUCUCCCAGGCAACAAACAGAACCCAAGGAAAUGGCCACAAGUUGUACCUGUGGAGGCUUAGGUUAGACAUAAGGAAAAACUUUUUCUCUCAGAGAGUGGUCAGGCACUGGAAUGGCCUGCCCAGGGAGGUAGUGGAGUCACUGUCCCUGGCAGUGUUCAAGAGGUGCCUGGAUGAGGAGCUGCAAGAUAUGGUUUAGUGGCUUGUGGUAGCAGUGGUGAUGGGUGUACAGUUGGACUAUAUGAUCUUGUAGGUCCUUUCCAACCUUGAGAUUCUAUGAUUCUGUGAUUCAGUCAGGUGUAUGCUGAGCUGUCAAGGUCACACACUACUCCCUGCCCUUGCUGUAAAACUGUUAGCAGAUGCAAGUCAAUUACUCAGAGCAUCUGUAGCUUCCAUCUAUUGUUUUCUCUUCUUCUUACCUAACAAAACAUUUGAAUAACAAACAGACUAAGCCAUUUUCCUCAAUUACUAAUGCAUGUGGCUCACCUGGUGUUUGUAUUCCUGGGCUUGGCUCUGUUGUCGUUUUUCUUCUGAUUGGGAUAUUUACAAAAAUUGGAUGACAGGAAGAAAUUUAGCUAGGCUUGUACCAAGAGCUCAAAGACUGAAGCAUAGCUUUUUAAAGGCCUUAAAAAGAGAAUUGCUAUGUUAUCAAUGCUGACACCUCUCUCUAGCAGAGAGCUUUAACAGUCCAUAAGGUUCCAAUUUGUUGUUGUUUUUUUUUUUUAAAUCCUUAUUUAGAAAAUUAACAUGGUUAAUUUGAAAAUAGUAGUGGGUAAUACUAAGCAACCUUUCCAAAAGAACAUCUUACCUAAGACAACCAAAUGAAAAGGUGAACAGAAGAAAAAAAAUUUCAAUCUUCUGUUCCUUAGCUGCACAGUUUAGAAAGCAGAAACAUGUAAUCUCCAACUACUGUAACUGAUAAAUAGGGUACGAAACAGCUGGUCAGCAUAUUUUGGGACAGAUUUUUCUGCACACUUUUGCAGCCGUGUGCCAAGCACUGAGAAGACACAGUCAACCAGGUCCUCCACAUGCGUACAUAGGCCUAUUUACAGUCAAAUCACCAAAGCUGUACUGUGACACUCAAAAAAGACCUGGUUGAUCACUAGCAUGUAUUUCAAAUGUGAGCUGUUUUGUGCUUGAAGUUCUGAAGGAGAGAGAGGAAUAUCUUUAAAGAAAAAAGUAAUUGUAGUAAAUGAUAGAAAUAUCUCUGAAGUUCUCAGGUUUAAGCUCUGUCUAUCCAGGCUAGACUUCCACAUCUUGCACCUCCCCCGUACAAUUGGAACAGGGCAGCCACGUCAAAGCCACUUCUGAAGAGCCCUCCUGGGGCCCCUUGGCUGCUUCUGCAAAAAGGGUUACUGUAUAAGUGGGGGGCUCCCUGCUCACUGCAGCACUGUCCUGCAGUCCAAGCAGUGUGGCUUCAUUGACUUUCAAAGAGCUGCUUUAGGUCUACACAGGAUUAGGGUGACCAGGAUGGAAGCAUUCAAAGAAUGAUCAGUUUUACUUAAUGCUGAUGUUACUCAUAUCAUCACACAGAUCUGAGCCAGCAGUCACUGCCUGCUCCUUGCAGGCCAGAGCCAGGAGAUGAAGUAGCCAGAAGUAGCCCAGGGGGCAUCAGAUUCAGUCCCAGGGAUUUAGAAGCCAAGGUGUAAUCUAGCAAACAUGCUACUUUAACCAAGUGCCAUAUGCUUUUUCAUUGUUUUCCUUUUGCAAAAUCAGCUUAUAAGUCAUUUUUACUUUCCCAUGUAGAUCUAACAUAUUCUCGAGCCCUUAGAAAGGAUUCUAUCAGCUUCACAAAGGUUUGAAUCAUACCUUUAGCAACCCACCCAUGGAAAAAAAUGAGGAUAAAAAGAAAGCAGAGGCUGUUUCUUUCUUCCCUUACAGAUUUGUAAAGAAAGAAAAAAAAAGUUGGAUUUUUUUUCUCUUUUCUAUGCUAGAAUCAGGCACAGAGCUCCGAGCAAAGUUCAAUGCCGGCAUCCCACUCUGGGGGUGCCUACACUUUAAAAUCCUUCCCUAUCAGACAAGAUACCAAAGGACACCUUUGGAUUUCUUCUUUGGUAAAAAUGAGAUGUCUGGGCAGCAGGCGGGGGGGGGGGGGGCAGUUGCAUGUACAUAUAUCUGACUGACACAGAGAGAAAUGUUUUCACAAGUAAUGGCUAAGGGUGAGAAGAGGCUGUUCACCUCCUGUACAGUCAACAAAUAUACAAUUAGCAGAGUGGCAUGGUUAGGCUGGUAUUUUACAGAUCAUGUAACUAGAAUGAUUAUCAUGGUAGAAAAAGAUAAUCAAAAAUAAAUGAAAUGCUCACCCAUGCCCUAGGUUCACAGAAAAAACUCCACAGGGAGCAAUCCCCAGAAAGAGAUCCUCCUGUUAGUCAGCCCUUAAAUAGGGUCUAGGAGAGGUGGAACCAGGCUCCACUCCUUCCAGUCACACAGGUGAUUUGCCUUCACCUGUGCCCCCAUGGCUGACCCAGCCCUUGCCUCAGGUGAUCCACCAGUGGUUCAGGCCAUGAUUCAACAGUUCCCAUACACCUAUCUGCAUUGUUCAUCUGCCGCUUGUGUGCUUAAGAGGGCACAUUUGUUUUAGAUGACAAGUUCAACACAAGUCUAGGGGAGAGCUGUUUUCUUCUCCCAGCACAGACACAGUGUACACUUUCACAUGUCCUACAUCUCAGAGCAAUAAGAUACUCUGGGGCAAGUCGCCUUCUUGAUCAUCCAUCCUCAGGACAGCAUUGUUACCCAUGGAGCAGUUAACCAGAGUGCCUUGAUGUUCACUCAGUGUGGUCUUGUAGGUGGAUGUGAAUCCAGGCUAAGUGAGGGACCUUGGACACACAGAAGCUAUAGUUACUCCCUGUUAUAUAAUAAUAUUUGUAUUUACAGGAUGAACAGGAGGCCUGAGCAUCUGUGUAUGAUUUACUGAUUACUGACCUAUUAAAUAUUUGUUGCUAGGGAAUACAGCAAUUGUGAUGUCACACAAUGAAAGUGCUCUGGUUGUAAAAAUCACCUUUAUACUACUUAUAGUGCAAGGAAUUUCAUAGUUUCCAAAUCCACUUAACCACCUAAGUAAUAUUCUUUAACAUGAGAAUCCAAUUCAUUUUGCACUUUAGUAGGUAAAUGCAGUGAAAAUUUGAGACAUAGCAGCAGGCAUUGCAUUUGUAGCUAAUUAAGGAAAACUGGAUUGAGCCCAGAUGUGGAUUAUGCAAAGUGAUUACUGGUGUUCCUUAGAAGCUGAUAAUUUUGAAAGCAUUUCCUUGUGUUUGUUCACUUUUUAAGUGUGCCAAGAUAAAAAAGCUUCUGAAGGGGGAAAAACAGGCUUCCACAGAAUAAAGCUAUCAAUGGCAAUUAUUUCCAUCGUUUCAAAUUGAUGUAUAUGGUAGUUAAUGAUCAGGUUGCAGCCAUUCUUUAAACCAAAAUCUGCCACUGAGAUUUCCAAAUUGAGUGCAGCAAAAAAGUUUUCAGCUACUGAAAGUUAAUAAAUGUAGGGCUUGGCACCCACUCCAAUUCCCACUGGAGCAAUUUGUGACAUAAUGAUAUUUCAUUUUUGUUCUGGAAAAAAAGACAACAUAAUAAAUGUUAAUUGUUAAAGAUAAGACCGUGUUAUGUCUAAUUCCACCAAACAGCAGAGUGAACAAAGCUGCUAAUGGAGGACAAAGAUAGUCCACCUGAGGAAAAGAGGCAGAAUCUGGCUUCCUAGAAGCAAAAGAAUGAUAGCACUAUGUCCGGAUCUUUAAUACAGCAUUAAGAGAUACAAAAAACUUACUAUGUAAAUAAGGAACACAAUGGUUUUAAAUUUCUUUUUGACAUAAACUGAUUUUAAUAUUUUUGAUAAGUUAUCAAAUAUCCAUCAGAAGCCUGGGGGAAGAAACUGCCAGAAAAAUAUAGGCAGAUUGAAGCUUGAAUUUAUACUGUUUUUGUGGUGGGAAACUUGCCCAAAUGUUUGAUUUUACAAAGCUGACAUGUGGUUUGGCAGUAUCCACAGAAGCUUCUGCUUUCUCUCUUUCUUUUCUUUUCUUUUUUUUUUUUUUAAUUUGUAUUGAUCUUGUUAAAUGCUAAUGAUUCAGUAUAACUCAGCUUUAGACACUUUCCAAUUAAAAAUAGUGCCAUUCUGCAGUGCAGCCAUUAUAAAUUUAUAUGAUUUUUAAACACAAUAUGCCUCUCCUGGGUCUUUGUAAUCAGCUUUUGAACUAUUCUUCUCUAUUUGUUAUAAUUAUGUUGACAAAUAUUGCAGCAUACAAAAUAUAUUUUGGUGGUGAAACAGAAUAGACAGAAUUUUCCAUUUCCAUUCUGUCUUGUUUGCACUAAACUGGACACUCAUAUUUUCUGUUUCUGUUCCUAAAGAUAUUUACACCAUUUACUAUCGUGCAAGCAAAAGGGAAAAUUUUCACUCUGCACUUUCUCAGGCUGUUGUCCCUCAUCCACAGCUCUCAUCAGUCACAUUCAGCCCACAGAUGCUGAAAGCAGACAUGAAGGGGUAGAUACACUCACACAGCUCACUGCAACAUGGACAGUGGUGCUGCCUAGGCAGCCUCUGCCUGGAAAACUUUGCAACCAAGGCAAUAGGUGGGAAAUGGGAUGCAGACAGACAGUGAGUGCAGGACAGCACUUCUCAGCGUCCCAGAAGUUCACCUACUCUCAGCCUUUUGGAGGCACCAGGGAAAAGGAUGGUCUUGAAAGAAAACAAGGAUGUUUUGGAGCUGUUUCCCACAAUUCUCCUUGAACAAGAGAAUGAUAUCAGAAGAGAAAGCUCAAAGGCACUUGUUGGUUGUUUAGGAAAGUGUUGAAAACCUAGUCAGCUGGGAAACUUUCAGUUAGUCUGGACAAGAUAAACGUGUGGUAGGACAGGAUCGUGGGGAAGAAGGCUGUUGGGUGUUGGUAACUGUUUCCUUUAGUAACUCUAUUAAGGGGGACACCAGUGGACACAAAUAAUUGAAGUUGCAUACUAUAGAUUUUUGUUAAGAUUCAGAGCAAUAUCAAGCUGUGUAAAAGAUGUGUUAUCAACACGGAUUUCAUUAUAUCAAUUGAAACCCAAACAGAGGCAUUAAAAAAAAAAAAAAAAAAAAAAAGUGACAGGAUAGUAGAUAAUUUUUGCACACAGGCCUGACCUAUGUUUAAUCAAAGUGAGUAAGGACAAAAACACGGCAGCCUUCAAGAACUAUAUUUCAUCUGUGAACCUAACUAUUGUCCUGAUUUUGCUGAACUCACAGAACUGUACAGACAAAACAUUCUUCAUUAAACAGGGAAAUUAUACACUGCAUUCAGCAGCCUGAUAUGGAGCUAUUAUCUUAUAUACAGACAUGUGCUGUUUUUCUGUGUACUCACAAAACAUCUGCUGUCUUCUUUGCUUAAAUUUUGGCCUCAGGAGAAAGCAGCUUUUAUUUUCUCAGCAAAAUAUUCCUAAACAUAGCAAGAAAUAUGGGAAAAUAAGUUGCUAUCUAUGUGCAUGCAAUGAAGAAAUAAGCCUGUCUAUAAAGGUAAUAUUUUCUUCCAGCCCUAUUAUUAAAGCCUUGAUUGUAAGUUCUCUGGCCUAUUUUUCAUUUCUUAUGGUGUUUGAAGUUUUAAAAGCAAUUAGCAACAAAGACUCAUAGAGGCAAAGUUGAUUUUAAACCUUUCCAGUUUCAGUAAUCUACAGAAGUGUCAAUAACUCACGUUAAGAUGUUUCUAGGAGUACAUAAGAAAAAUACUAUUCUGCUGCCCAUCCCAGCAAUCCCAGAACAUAACUCCUGAUUAGUGUUUUGAUAGCGCUUCUGGAGACAGGCUGAAGCAUCAACAAGUUUGCUACAUACAGCUCUUAAAAACAUACAUACCUUUAAUGGUAAUUUCCAGAGUAUUACUGCAGGACAAUAAAGCAAAUAUCCUUCACAUGAUUUGGCCUUUUCAAAGAUUUCUUUGGACGUGGUAUCAUCACAGAUGCUAACAGUUUCUUAACAGUCUUUCAGUUUCUUAGUCAGAGACCUUUUUAAGUAAAACAAAGCUGUGGUUUCCCUCUGGCUUCAAGGUUGUCAGCAAAAAUUCUACAGAACUCAACAUAGUGUGAGUGCAGUCCUGAAGUAUUUGUCGCCUUCUAACUUUUAUUCUCCAGUGUGUACUGGGAGCAUCUGUAAAGGAGGAGUGGAAUGCUCUCUGAGGGCCAUGAUGGGAGCCCCCCAGCCUCUCCAGCAGCGCAUGUUAUCUGCAUUUCAGAGGUGUGUCCCAUCACUGACCUCAAUACAACUUCUCACUACAGUGCUCUGCAUUAGGAGACCCAUCAGCACUGUGCUCACUUUUUCAGCUCCAAUGCUCCUCCCAGUGCCCAUCUCUCACCUGCUGGGCACCACUGAGUUUUCUCCCCAGGCCUUGCUAAACUGUGAUUUUGGAUGGUUCCAUCUCAAAACCAGGAAGCUGACCAGAUUUGUUUGAAAAUGGGACUAGUUUCAUUCAAACCACGUCAUAAACUUCAACAGAGUCUGGAUUUUGACUUUCUUGUGCAACUUGAAACCACAUGUGUUCCACAUGCUUUAGGGUUUUGUCGUGAAUAUCUUACAUAGCUCUCUGGGAAUAACCUUUUCUUGUGGGCUUUUAGCAUUUCCUAUCCCAGCCAGAACCAUAAAAAGCAAAGACUGGAAAAUAUGAAAACUGAAAUUAUGUGGGAAAAGAGAGGACUUAACUUUUUAAGCCUCAGACAAAGUUUGUGUUCAUUUAGAGCUCAGAGUAAAGUUUUGAAUUAAUCCAUGUUUUAUUUAAACUGUUAGCCUUAAUUAGGUGCACUCACAAGAAAUCACUUCCGCUCCAAUACAAAAUCAUGGAGCUUGCAACACAUGGAAAUUAUAAACACUUCGGAGUGACAUGAGGGAUGGGUGUUGGCUCUGCAGCAGCAGAAGAGCAAAUAUUUACAGUACAUUAGGCUUUGCUUCGCUCCUAAAUUAUUAUCUUCCCCUCUGGAAUAAUCUAUUUUCCAAAGACGGAUAGAUACUAGUGCCAGUUCCCUCCCCAUCAGUUCUGUGACAGGCAAUUCUUUUUCCUUUAUUUCUAUAUUGAACUUUCUUGUUCUAGCUCUCCACAGAGCUAAAUGAGAACUAAGAAAAUUCUUAGUUUGCUGUCUCUUUUGUCCCUGAAUCACGCUUGAGCCUCUGGCAAGUUAUUAUACUCCUCUGAGCUUCAGGUUUCUCUUUUUCAAAAUAAAGAUACCAAAAGUUAACCUCUUAACAGAGGUGUUAAUUCAUAUCCAUAAGAGGACUUUAAAAUAGAAAGUGAUAUAUAAUGUUAAUUAGUCAUAUUAUGGCUGCUUAUUCCAAAAGCCCAAAGAAGCUGUUACUUUACAGAUUACUUAAGUUAAUGCUAAAAUAUUCCCAUCUUUGGUCUCACAGGACUCAGCUACGGAAAGUUAAAUACAAUGAAAGAAACACUACGGCAUAAAGGGGAAGAAAUAAUUACACAUAGCAUUUUUAUUCCCCUGGUAUAAAUCUGCAGUGCAUGAUGUGCUGUUAGGUUCUGCAGUAAAUGUACAACAACCUGGCUUUGCGCUUACAAUAGCUAAAACCAUCUGCGUACAUGUAAAACCUUUGCUGGCAGGUUUCCAUGUGUGGUUCAUGCAUUCCUUUGCCUGUGCAAUUUGAAGCUGUCAAAAACUAAUUAAAUAAUUAUGUGGUUGUUACUGCAGCUGUGUGUAUUCUUCAUUACGCUAUAAGGCUGCGGUUUGAGGCACUCUCCUGCUCUGGGUUUCAAAAUAUUAGUAAUGGAAGGUGUGUUGUUGGUGCAUGUUCUGCUGCUGCCAGAAAAAGCAGAGAGGGAAGGGAACCAUCUUUAAUAUAAGUUUGUCACUGCACUUUUUACUCUAUUUUCCCAGUACACAACACAGAGGUGGAAAUAAAAGUUAGCUCCUUGCAGCAGACAGAAUUCUGCACGGCCUGCCCUGCAUGCAAGAUCUCGGGAAAUCCCUGCAGGGCCUCUCUGGCAGGUGUGUGACCAAAGAGCAGCUCUGCAGUGCUGCCAGGCCUGCAGAGGUGGACUGUGAGUUGACAGCAGGAGGGUGAGACCAUGGUCUCUUCCUAGACCAGGCCCAGGCCACUCUUGGCCCUGCUCCUGACUCAGCGCCAAGGACCCCUCCUCCCUGUCACUGAAUUAGGG
Gallus gallus (chicken) is the source of this 9778-nucleotide long non-coding RNA. NCBI's taxonomy places the organism in Eukaryota, Metazoa, Chordata, Aves, Galliformes, Phasianidae. The record is from Ensembl.